This is an unclassified non-coding RNA of Callithrix jacchus (white-tufted-ear marmoset), 300 nucleotides long. It matches the Rfam family "Metazoan signal recognition particle RNA". From Rfam's summary of the family: The signal recognition particle (SRP) is a universally conserved ribonucleoprotein. The record is from Ensembl. Lineage: Eukaryota; Metazoa; Chordata; Mammalia; Primates; Cebidae.
GCCGGGUGCGGUGGCGCAUGCCUGUAGUCCCAGCUAGUACAGAGGCUGAGGUGGGAGGAUCACUUGAGCCUAGGAGUUCUGGGCUGUUGUGCGCUAUGCCAGUCAGGUAUCCACACUAAGUUUGGCAUCAAUAAUGUGACCUUCCGGGAGUGGGGACUACCAGGUUGCCUAAGGGAGGGGUGAUCUGGCCCAGGUUGGAAACGGAGCAGGUCAAAACUCCUGUGCUGAUCAGUAGUGGGAUUGUACCUUUGAAUAUCCACAGCACUCCAGCCUGAGCAACAUAGUGAGAUCCUGUCUCUA